Molecule: ribosomal RNA, 426 nt
Filed under: uncultured Alphaproteobacteria bacterium
Lineage: Bacteria; Pseudomonadati; Pseudomonadota; Alphaproteobacteria
Description: bacterial SSU rRNA
Rfam family: Bacterial small subunit ribosomal RNA
Source: RNAcentral
AGAGUUUGAUCCUGGCUCAGAACGAACGCUGGCGGCAGGCCUAACACAUGCAAGUCGAGCGCGCCCUUCGGGGUGAGCGGCGGACGGGUUAGUAACGCGUGGGAACAUACCCUUUGGUACGGAAUAGCCUCUGGAAACGGAGAGUAAUACCGUAUGAGCCCUUCGGGGGAAAGAUUUAUCGCCAAAGGAUUGGCCCGCGUUAGAUUAGGUAGUUGGUGGGGUAACGGCCUACCAAGCCUACGAUCUAUAGCUGGUUUUAGAGGAUGAUCAGCAACACUGGGACUGAGACACGGCCCAGACUCCUACGGGAGGCAGCAGUGGGGAAUCUUGGACAAUGGGGGCAACCCUGAUCCAGCCAUGCCGCGUGAGUGAUGAAGGCCUUAGGGUCGUAAAGCUCUUUCGCCUGUGAAGAUAAUGACGGUAGCA